UACAGAGGUCUCGAGCGUUAGGCGGAAUCACUGGGCUUAAAGCGUGUGUAGGUGGAUGCCUAAGUACCUUGUGAAAUCCCACGGCUUAACCGUGGAACUGCUUGGUAUACUGGGUGUCUUGAGUCACUCAGGGGCGAGCGGAACAAAUGGUGGAGCGGUGAAAUGCGUAGAUAUCAUUUGGAACGCCAAUGGUGAAAGAACGACGUCCGCUUCGGGGGUCGUCGGGGACUUGGACCAACCUUGGAACGAACCAUCGGAAAAGGACCCAAGGGGCAGGAAACGGCCAA
RNAcentral lists this ribosomal RNA (287 nucleotides) under uncultured bacterium. Its description in RNAcentral is "partial 16S ribosomal RNA". It matches the Rfam family "Bacterial small subunit ribosomal RNA", at positions 524 to 728 of the family's 1533-position model. The record is from RNAcentral.